Magnolia sinica is the source of this 1474-nucleotide long non-coding RNA. RefSeq lists it as uncharacterized. The record is from RefSeq and is a predicted model, not a curated record. The transcript is spliced from 5 exons. NCBI's taxonomy places the organism in Eukaryota, Viridiplantae, Streptophyta, Magnoliopsida, Magnoliales, Magnoliaceae.
GCAAGACACACAACAGAAGGCAAGCGGUGGGAAAGAUUCUUUGGAAGCUGAGGAGUCUAAGAAUGGGAUUUCCGUCCGUGGUCCUCAGAAUGGUGUGGCUCGCAGUCCAUCACAAACAAUGUUGAAUCAAACAAUGCCUAUCAUGCCAAUGGCAACACUUGUGUAAGUUGCGUUCUUGUAUGGUUAAGCCUCGGUACGGAAUUAUUUACUGGCACUCUCAUGCGGAAAACUUCAUUCUUGUUAUGCUUUUCUAUAUAUGUUACUUGACUAUCAUAAGAUAACUAUAUGUACAAUUCUAGAGUUUGGGAUUUUAUGUUUGCCAGCAACAACUAGCAGUUUUGUAUCAUCUCAAGAUGUUGGUGGGUAUAACUGAUUAUGUUGCAUGUUUCUCAUGCCCUUGUAAACAUGCUCUUCACUACAGUCCGGGAUUCUUUAGGAUUAACAUAUGAUGUAUCCUUUAAGCUAAGCCAGUUUGAUAGGUUGAAAGUCAGGUGGUAUGUGGUCUCAGUAAUUUCAACUCCUGGCAAGGUCUAUAAAGCUGUUGUGUUGAUGCAUGUAAGAAUGUUCUGAGAGGUUUACAUGAUAGCAAGAUUGCCCGAAGAGAGCUGGAUCGGCGCGCACAACGGCUGUCACAGUUGUAGAGAUUCUGAAGAAAAAAGGGCUGGCUAUUGAGAAGAGGAUUUUGAUGUCUACAGCUGACAUGAAGGAUGAAUCCAAGGGCCGUCUUAUUCCAAAAGCGAAGGUUGGCACUGUUAAUGCUAGUUUUUAAUAUUUGUCAUGUCAAAUUAAUCAUCCUUACUACCUUCUUCUUCUUCUUCUUUUCUUAUUUGAAGUGAUCAAAUUCAAAUACCCAUGCUUUUUUAACCAGCAUGGUUGAUUAUUUCUGCAGUUUUAUCAAACCACCCCCCUCCGUUUCUUUCAGAAAGACACAAGCAUAUAUAAUUCUUCUCUUUGGCUACACUAGUUACUUGAUUUCAACAACCAGACUCCUGUUUACUUUUUAUUUUUGGGAGGUAGCUGUUUGCAUACCAUGAUGUUUACAGUUGUAAUGUUUUUGUUCUUACUUGUUAUAGAUUGAGGUAUUGCUCGGGAAGACUGAGAAAUUCGAUGAUCUGAUUAUUGCCAUUGCUGCCAAAGGGAGGCAGUUGGAGACAAUAAAGCAUGAUGGCAAACCAUAGCUCUAGAGUUCCAUCAUAUUCUGAUUUUCAUUUCUUUUUUCCUCCUGGUGUCCUGUUUAAGUGAUAGAGGUUAUCGAAUUUUCAAGUAGAGCUGCUGCUGUCAUUAACUGAAAAGAGCAGAGUUGAGAGAGGCCAUUUUCUUUUCUCCUUUUAUGGGAGUUGUUGAUAAUACAGACAAUCUGUUGUUUGGUGGUCAGACUACUGUUGUAUUGUUUGAGUCUUGUUUCAGCAUCUUCCUUUGACUAAUGCUGACUGAUUGACAGCAAACAGUAAAAGCUUUGGUGAUCUUCCAUCUU